RNAcentral lists this ribosomal RNA (200 nucleotides) under uncultured bacterium. RNAcentral describes it as "partial 16S ribosomal RNA". It matches the Rfam family "Bacterial small subunit ribosomal RNA", at positions 524 to 723 of the family's 1533-position model. The record is from RNAcentral.
UACGGAGGGUGCAAGCGUUGUCCGGAAUCAUUGGGUGUAAAGGGUGUGCAGGCGGAAGUCUAAGUCGGAGGUGAAAAGUUGCCGCUUAACGGUAACCGUGCCUUCGAUACUGGAUUUCUUGAGUUCGGAAGAGGUUGGUGGAAUUCGUGGUGUAGCGGUGAAAUGCAUAGAUAUCACGAAGAACACCAGUGGCGAAGGCG